CCAUGCUAGAUGGGGAAUCAGCGGUGCCCUGUAACUUGCAAUCCGCUACAGCAAGAUUGAAUUCCCGAUCGAGGGUAUCUUUCUUGUGGUCUGCCCGAAACAAGUGAUGUUGAGGAGCGGGUCCUACGCAAUAGGCGCUUGCGAACCGUGUCAGGUCUUGACGGAAGCAGCACUAAGUAAGUCAGUCUAUGUGACGUAGAUUCGCCUGUUCUGAGUUAACUAUUUCGGUAACGCACGGGAAAUUUAUUCGAAGUCGGGUGCAUGG
RNAcentral lists this signal recognition particle RNA (265 nucleotides) under Aedoeadaptatus ivorii. RNAcentral's name for it is "Peptoniphilus ivorii Bacterial large signal recognition particle RNA". It matches the Rfam family "Bacterial large signal recognition particle RNA". From Rfam's summary of the family: The signal recognition particle (SRP) is a universally conserved ribonucleoprotein involved in the co-translational targeting of proteins to membranes. Archaeal SRP consists of a 7S RNA and homologues of the eukaryotic SRP19 and SRP54 proteins. The record is from Rfam by way of RNAcentral. Lineage: Bacteria; Bacillati; Bacillota; Tissierellia; Tissierellales; Peptoniphilaceae.